Dalotia coriaria is the source of this 832-nucleotide long non-coding RNA. RefSeq lists it as uncharacterized. The transcript is spliced from 5 exons. Lineage: Eukaryota; Metazoa; Arthropoda; Insecta; Coleoptera; Staphylinidae. The record is from RefSeq and is a predicted model, not a curated record.
UGCCGGUCGUUGUUUGGGUUGUGCGUGUUCCUCGCGGCUGUUAUCGCUUUAUUUUGAGUUUGUAAUUCGGUAAAUCGCGUUCAUUUCGAUUGUCCAUCGACUGCACUUAGUUAUUACUGGCGUAUUUAGUGUUUUAUUAGUAGAUAAUCCGGUGUCGAAUAGACAAAAUUGUUAAUUUUUGCGUUCGUUGUGCGUAUUGCAAGAUGGCCGCGUGCUAUCAACUUGUUUACACUGCACUGCAUGCUCGCGAUAUAGUGGUAGCGGUAACUGCAACGUCUUGCAACGUGUGUUGGGAUAUUAUUUCGUUUAAUUGCGGUCUAUCUGUGUCGUUGUGUUUGGUAUGUUGUCCCGGGAACAUGAACAACGUUCUGCAUGGAAGCGGGGAAAGAACGGGAAUUUUGCGUAUACUAAAAAUUUGAAAUCCCUUCUUGUCGUUGCACCGACAAGUGCCGUUGGGCACCGUACGAGGCAAGCGGUAGAAGUGAUUCGUGUUCAGGGCACCGUACGAAGGGGGUGGUAGCAGUGAGUCGUGUUCAGGGCACCGUACGAAGGGAUUUUGCACCUGAGUCUGACAUCGGAGGAGAACCAUUCUUGCAUCAGAUUGACUAAUUUUUCCUGGUUUUAGAGAAUGUGCACCUGAGUCUGACAUCGUAGAAGAACCAUUCUUGCAUCAGAUUGGAUUUUGCACCUGAGUCUGACAUCGUAGAAGAACCAUUCUUGCAUCAGAUUGUAACUAUUGAAUUUCUUUAUCAUUUUCUUAAAUAAUUUUUGUGAUAAUCUCACAAAUUGACCUCCAAAAUUGCAUUUUUAUGUUCGAAGGACUAAUUUUUGC